AUGCUGAUUGGGCCAAAGGUGAGCUCCUGGAAAGACAGACCAAUCGGGUCCCUUCCUGAGGAUGCUUGUGAUCCGCCUACCUGGCUCCAGAAGUCUCAGAGCCUGGGUGUCAAGAUGCCCAUGGUGGGAGAUAGAGAAAGCUCUGUGGGUAGAGAGGUGGGGAGGGAGAUAGAGGUCUUGGCUCUGGUUACCGUCCAACCCUUUUCAGAGCCCCUCCUUCCAUGCAGGCCACCCAGGGACCUUCAAGAAAAUCCCUUUAUGUGUUGCCAGCGUGAGUUAGAUUCCUGUCCCCGGCAGUUAUGCCCCACGUGGAGAACAUGGACUCGGUCAACAAGCCUGGCUGUCGGUGACUCAGGACAUGCGGCCUCCGGUCCGGCAGCAGGGCAGAGUUGUCCUCGCCAGGGCACCCCGCAGUUCUGCUCAGGACUCGGGACUGCAGCGGAGAGCCACGUGCUUAUCGAUGGAUGUUUCUGGCCUGGGAGAGCUGGCGUUGUGGGGGACACGGAGCACCCACAGCUCUCCUCACCCCCAGCCCCUCGUCCACUCUGCUGUCCGGUACGGGCAUCCCAGGCAGACACCAAAGAGGAAACCCGAAGGCUAAGUCCGAAGGCACAGCCGGUGCCCAAGCUGGGGGAUACAGCAAGUCCCAGGAGUGGACAGAUCCUGGCUCGAGCCCCAGGGUCACCGUCCCCAGCUGUGUGAGCCUUGGUCUCUGUGCUUCAGUGGCCUUGGAGACCCCAAGCUUGGAUGGAUGUUAUCUAUAGCUAUUGCUUAACAAAGACAAAGCCUGCGUGGAACAAGCCUGUAAUACCAGCAUUUGGGAGGCUGAGGCGGGAGGAUCGCCACAAGUGUGAGGCCAGCCUGAACUACACGGUGAGACCCUGGCUCAAAAAAGCAAAACCAGACGCACAAAAAAUACAAAACAAAAAAAACAAGGAAAAAGGACACCAAGUAAUCAGGUCUCUUUGCUUUUCAAGGGGCUGGCAGUCCCUACCCCACCCGGCAGUCUGAUCAGUAAGGGGAGCUGGCGCCACGCCCCAGGGGCCAAAGGCCUGGAGCUAGGACGAGGGGACCGAGACCACUGGUGCGGGCAGCAGGCCCUGGGGCCACCUGAACUCCUCCCAGGCUCAGCGAGCUCCUGCAGGCCUCCGAGGAGCCACGGUUCCGCCUUUUACCUCCGACCUCGCCCAGG
Molecule: long non-coding RNA, 1192 nt
Filed under: Fukomys damarensis (Damara mole-rat)
Lineage: Eukaryota; Metazoa; Chordata; Mammalia; Rodentia; Bathyergidae
Description: lncRNA (ENSFDAG00000032373.1)
Source: RNAcentral